UUAUUACUUAAUAUACACAUGCAAGCAUCCACUUCCCGGUGAAAACGCCCUUUAACCCCUCUUAGGGAUCAGGAGCCGGUAUCAGGCACGAUAAUCUGCCCAAAACACCUAGCUUUGCCACACCCACAAGGGAAUUCAGCAGUGAUUAACAUUGAGCAUAAGCGCAAGCUUGACUCAGUUGAAGUAAAAUAGAGCCGGCCAAUCUGGUGCCAGCCGCCGCGGUUACACCACGUGACUCAAAUUGACCUUACUCCGGCGUAAAGCGUGAUUAAAGUUUUCCCUAACUAGAGCUAAACCCUUACCGAGCUGUGACACGCCUGUUUAUUAAGAAACUCAAAAACGAAAGUUACUCUAAUACCACCAACUUGAAUUCACGACAGCUGGGAAACAAACUGGGAUUAGAUACCCCACUAUGCCCAGCCAUAAACCUUUAAUUACAUCUCCACCAUAUCGCCAGGGAACUACGAGCCAAGCUUAAAACCCAAAGGACUUGACGGUACCCCAUAUCCCCCUAGAGGAGCCUGUCCUAUAACCGAUAAUCCACGUUAAACCUCACCAUUUUCUAGAUAUCAGCCUGUAUACCUCCGUCGUCAGCUUACCACGUGAGCGCCAAUUAGUGAGCCCAAUGCUUCUUCACCAACACGUCAGGUCAAGGUGCAGCAAAUGAAAUGGGAAGAGAUGGGCUACACUUUCUACAUUAGAAAAAAACGAAAAACUUUAUGAAACCUAGUUAGAAGGCGGAUUUAGCAGUAAAAAGGAAUCAGAAUAUCCAUUUUAACCUGGCACUGGGGUGUGUACACACCGCCCGUCACCCUCUUCAAAAUCAUAACAAAGUUUUUAACAAACCAAGAUAUAAUAGAAGAGGCAAGUCGUAACAUGGUAAGUAUACCGGAAGGUGUGCUUGGAAA
This 908-nucleotide non-coding RNA is filed under the name Ansonia sp. KUHE 35066. Its description in RNAcentral is "partial 12S ribosomal RNA". It matches the Rfam family "Bacterial small subunit ribosomal RNA". The record is from RNAcentral. Lineage: Eukaryota; Metazoa; Chordata; Amphibia; Anura; Bufonidae.